Camellia sinensis is the source of this 294-nucleotide non-coding RNA. NCBI's taxonomy places the organism in Eukaryota, Viridiplantae, Streptophyta, Magnoliopsida, Ericales, Theaceae. The record is from RefSeq and is a predicted model, not a curated record.
CAGGAAACUGUAGCAGAUUUACUAAAAAACAAAGAUCAAAAGGCAUGGCUAAGUAUGGGUUUCUCGUUCUUUCCAAUGCUUUGGUGGCAUUUACAAUUGGCCAUCUCAUUUGCAGGCAAGCACACCCAAUGCUUGUGAUUUUUAUCUCAUACAUACAAGCCUUUCACAUUUUAUUGGAACUAAACCAAUGUAGUUUGUUGGAGGGUCCUUCAUGGAACUUGAUGGUUUAUAAUUUCUGACUUCAAAUUUGGCUCGUAGGCAAUUCAAGACUCGAGAACAUAAGAUACAGAUAAU